UACGGAGGGUGCGCGCGUUAAUCGGAAUUACUGGGCGUAAAGCGUGCGCAGGCGGUUAUGUAAGACAGGUGUGAAAUCCCCGGGCUUAACCUGGGAACUGCAUUUGUGACUGCAUAGCUAGAGUACGGUAGAGGGGGAUGGAAUUCCGCGUGUAGCAGUGAAAUGCGUAGAUAUGCGGAGGAACACCGAUGGCGAAGGCAAUCCCCUGGACCUGUACUGACGCUCAUGCACGAAAGCGUGGGGAGCAAACAGGAUUAGAAACCCCCGUAGUCC
This 273-nucleotide ribosomal RNA is filed under the name uncultured bacterium. RNAcentral describes it as "partial 16S ribosomal RNA". It matches the Rfam family "Bacterial small subunit ribosomal RNA", at positions 524 to 796 of the family's 1533-position model. The record is from RNAcentral.